CUUGAUCCAGUUCCAACUGCCCCUCGUAAAACAGUCGCUAACUCUAUAGUUCUUCCCCUCGGACAUGAGAUAAGCAUCCGGGAACAAAAGGUUUAACGUUUUCUCCCCACACCACCUAUCCAGCCAGAAGUCGACGGUAUUCCCAUUUCCUAGUUUAAAAGCCACUCCCCAUUUAAAGAUGGUGGUGCAACUAAGAAUGCCCUUCCACCAGCUAGAAUAGGGUCCGAACGAUCUACCUUUCCGCAGUGGUUUUCUUCUACGAUAGUACAAAUCCGGGAUUAACUUAUUCCACUGAAGUUCGGGGGCAGUUGGUAAUCCCGGAUUAACUUAUUCCACUAAGUUUAUGUUAUUGGUAAUUGUAUGGUGUCCCCUUUUUCUCUGUAAGGAUCGAUUCAGCGAAAGAUCAUCUCAGAACAAGAAAUGUGUAUAUUAAUUUUUUAUUAAAACGAUAUUAGGAAUAGAAUUUUUAUAGCCGGGUUGAAAUAAAGGAUGCACUUUUGGGACUUGAUUGGUUCAUCUAUUUUGGAGUAUGAAAUAGAAAAAAGAUUCAGUGAUUCCGAUAGCUAUUGUUUGUUUUAUAGAAGUCAAAUUUUGAUUUUCCUUUCGCUCUGAAAUGGAAUUGAUCCAAUCUAGACCCAUUUCAAAAUAAAUCACUCAAAGCCUUCUCUCACAAACAUCUCUCGCUUCUCUACUUUCAUCGCUCAUCUUUCUCUUAACCAAAAUUCUCUUUCAAAAUUUUAGAUAUUCUGAGGCGAUAUUAUGCUAUCAUCCUCUCAAGAAAAAGAAAAAAAAAAUGAAUGUCCAUUGCAAUUUUUAUUUUAAUAAUGAAUCAAUUAUUUUUGACUGAUUUGUCAUUCUAUAUUUGAUUUUUGUCUCAAUUAUGAACCAAUCAUAUUCUUUUAAUUGUUGUUUUUUUUUAAGAGAUAGGUUAUCCGCUUCGUUUAUUUAAUUUAACUAGGAUUCGAACUUAAAAUUUCAAGUAUCAAUUAUUAAAUUUUUUGCCACUUGCACUAGAACGGUCAAUAGUUUUAAUUGUU
This 1037-nucleotide long non-coding RNA is filed under the name Ananas comosus (pineapple). RNAcentral describes it as "long non-coding RNA (ACOM_LNC011553)". The record is from RNAcentral. Lineage: Eukaryota; Viridiplantae; Streptophyta; Magnoliopsida; Poales; Bromeliaceae.